GACGAACGCUGGCGGCGUGCCUAACACAUGCAAGUCGAACGAAGCUUGAUUUCUGAUUUUUUCGGAAUGACGAAUGAUAUGACUGAGUGGCGGACGGGUGAGUAACGCGUGAGCAACCUGCCCUUCGGAACGGGAUAGUGUCUGGAAACGGACAGUAAUACCGUAUAACAUAUAUUGAUCGCAUGGUCGAUAUAUCAAAACUGAGGUGCCGAAGGAUGGGCUCGCGUCUGAUUAGAUAGUUGGUGGGGUAACGGCCUACCAAGUCGACGAUCAGUAGCCGGACUGAGAGGUUGAACGGCCACAUUGGGACUGAGACACGGCCCAGACUCCUACGGGAGGCAGCAGUGGGGAAUAUUGCACAAUGGGGGAAACCCUGAUGCAGCAACGCCGCGUGAAGGAAGACGGUUUUCGGAUUGUAAACUUCUGUUCUUAGUGAAGAAUAAUGACGGUAGCUAAGGAGCAAGCCACGGCUAACUACGUGCCAGCAGCCGCGGUAAUACGUAGGUGGCAAGCGUUGUCCGGAAUUACUGGGUGUAAAGGGAGCGUAGGCGGGAUGCCAAGUCAGCUGUGAAAACUAUGGGCUUAACUUGUAGACUGCAGUUGAAACUGGUAUUCUUGAGUGAAGUAGAGGUUGGCGGAAUUCCGAGUGUAGCGGUGAAAUGCGUAGAUAUUCGGAGGAACACCGGUGGCGAAGGCGGCCAACUGGGCUUUAACUGACGCUGAGGCUCGAAAGUGUGGGGAGCAAACAAGAUUAGAUACCCUGGUAGUCCACACUGUAAACG
RNAcentral lists this ribosomal RNA (782 nucleotides) under uncultured bacterium. Its description in RNAcentral is "bacterial SSU rRNA". It matches the Rfam family "Bacterial small subunit ribosomal RNA", at positions 28 to 808 of the family's 1533-position model. The record is from RNAcentral.